GGAGGAGUGGCAGAGCUGGUUGAAUGCACCGGUCUUGAAAACCGGCGUACGUUUACGCGUACCGGGGGUUCGAAUCCCUCCUCCUCCG
RNAcentral lists this transfer RNA (88 nucleotides) under Saprospiraceae bacterium. RNAcentral describes it as "tRNA-Ser". It matches the Rfam family "tRNA". Rfam says of the family: Transfer RNA (tRNA) molecules are approximately 80 nucleotides in length. Their secondary structure includes four short double-helical elements and three loops (D, anti-codon, and T loops). Further hydrogen bonds mediate the characteristic L-shaped molecular structure. tRNAs have two regions of fundamental functional importance: the anti-codon, which is responsible for specific mRNA codon recognition, and the 3' end, to which the tRNAs corresponding amino acid is attached (by aminoacyl-tRNA synthetases). tRNAs cope with the degeneracy of the genetic code in two manners: having more than one tRNA (with a specific anti-codon) for a particular amino acid; and 'wobble' base-pairing, i.e. permitting non-standard base-pairing at the 3rd anti-codon position. Lineage: Bacteria; Pseudomonadati; Bacteroidota; Saprospiria; Saprospirales; Saprospiraceae. The record is from RNAcentral.